AAAACUGCGGCCGCCUCGAUCUCGUGAGGUUAUCAUUGCCCACGUGUGCAUGACGUCAGAGCAAGUCGGGGUCAAGUCGGACACAAAUCAAACCGGCAUGCAUUGGGCGGCGAUCGCCGGUGAUCGAUUCGGCACAGGCCUGGCUCAUCUCAAACGGGACUACUAUCUGCAGAAAACAUCAAGAUGA
Long non-coding RNA from Sander lucioperca (pikeperch), 187 nucleotides. RefSeq lists it as uncharacterized. The transcript has 3 exons. The record is from RefSeq and is a predicted model, not a curated record. NCBI's taxonomy places the organism in Eukaryota, Metazoa, Chordata, Actinopteri, Perciformes, Percidae.